AGUGAACGCUGGCGGUAGGCCUAACACAUGCAAGUCGAACGGCAGCACAGUAAGAGCUUGCUCUUACGGGUGGCGAGUGGCGGACGGGUGAGGAAUACAUCGGAAUCUACUUUUUCGUGGGGGAUAACGUAGGGAAACUUACGCUAAUACCGCAUACGACCUACGGGUGAAAGCAGGGGAUCUUCGUACCUUGCGCGAUUGAAUGAGCCGAUGUCGGAUUAGCUAGUUGGCGGGGUAAAGGCCCACCAAGGCGACGAUCCGUAGCUGGUCUGAGAGGAUGAUCAGCCACACUGGAACUGAGACACGGUCCAGACUCCUACGGGAGGCAGCAGUGGGGAAUAUUGGACAAUGGGCGCAAGCCUAAUCCAGCCAUACCGCGUGGGUGAAGAAGGCCUUCGGGUUGUAAAGCCCUUUUGUUGGGAAAGAAAAGCAGCAGGUUAAUACCCCGCUGUUCUGACGGUACCCAAAGAAUAAGCACCGGCUAACUUCGUG
This 492-nucleotide ribosomal RNA is filed under the name uncultured bacterium. RNAcentral's name for it is "partial 16S ribosomal RNA". It matches the Rfam family "Bacterial small subunit ribosomal RNA", at positions 29 to 507 of the family's 1533-position model. The record is from RNAcentral.